GACGAACGCUGGCGGCGUGCUUAACACAUGCAAGUCGAACGGAAAGGCCCUGCUUGCAGGGUACUCGAGUGGCGAACGGGUGAGUAACACGUGGGUGAUCUGCCCUGCACUUCGGGAUAAGCUUGGGAAACUGGGUCUAAUACCGGAUAGGACCGCACUUUAGUGUGUGUGGUGGAAAGUUUUUUCGGUGUAGGAUGAGCUCGCGGCCUAUCAACUUGUUGGUGGGGUAAUGGCCUACCAAGGCGGCGACGGGUAGCCGGCCUGAGAGGGUGUACGGCCACAUUGGGACUGAGAUACGGCCCAGACUCCUACGGGAGGCAGCAGUGGGGAAUAUUGCACAAUGGGCGCAAGCCUGAUGCAGCGACGCCGCGUGGGGGAUGAAGGCCUUCGGGUUGUAAACUCCUUUCGCUAGGGACGAAGCUUUUUGUGACGGUACCUAGAUAAGAAGCACCGGCUAACUACGUGCCAGCAGCCGCGGUAAUACGUAGGGUGCGAGCGUUGUCCGGAAUUACUGGGCGUAAAGGGCUCGUAGGUGGUUUGUCGCGUCGUCUGUGAAAUUCUGGGGCUUAACUCCGGGCGUGCAGGCGAUACGGGCAUAACUUGAGUGCUGUAGGGGUAACUGGAACUCCUGGUGUAGCGGUGAAAUGCGCAGAUAUCAGGAGGAACACCGAUGGCGAAGGCAGGUUACUGGGCAGUUACUGACGCUGAGGAGCGAAAGCAUGGGUAGCGAACAGGAUUA
This 739-nucleotide ribosomal RNA is filed under the name uncultured Actinomycetales bacterium. RNAcentral describes it as "bacterial SSU rRNA". It matches the Rfam family "Bacterial small subunit ribosomal RNA", at positions 28 to 780 of the family's 1533-position model. Lineage: Bacteria; Bacillati; Actinomycetota; Actinomycetes; Actinomycetales. The record is from RNAcentral.